UACGUAGGGGGCAAGCGUUGUCCGGAAUCAUUGGGCGUAAAGAGCGUGUAGGCGGCCCGAUAAGUCCGCCGUGAAAGUCCAGGGCUCAACCCUGGAAUGCCGGUGGAAACUGUCGGGCUGGAGUCCGGAAGAGGCGAGUGGAAUUCCUGGUGUAGCGGUGAAAUGCGCAGAUAUCAGGAGGAACACCAAUGGCGAAGGCAGCUCGCUGGGACGGUACUGACGCUGAGGCGCGAAAGCUAGGGGAGCAAACAGG
RNAcentral lists this ribosomal RNA (253 nucleotides) under uncultured bacterium. RNAcentral's name for it is "partial 16S ribosomal RNA". It matches the Rfam family "Bacterial small subunit ribosomal RNA", at positions 524 to 776 of the family's 1533-position model. The record is from RNAcentral.